UACGUAGGGGGCUAGCGUUGUCCGGAAUCAUUGGGCGUAAAGAGCGUGUAGGCGGUCCGGUAAGUCCGCUGUGAAAGUCGGGGGCUCAACCCUCGAAUGCCGGUGGAUACUGUCGGGCUAGAGUGCGGAAGAGGCGAGUGGAAUUCCUGGUGUAGCGGUGAAACGCGCAGAUAUCAGGAGGAACACCUAUUGCGAAGGCAGCUCGCUGGGACGUAACUGACGCUGAGACGCGAAAGCGUGGGGAGCAAACAGG
RNAcentral lists this ribosomal RNA (253 nucleotides) under uncultured bacterium. RNAcentral's name for it is "partial 16S ribosomal RNA". It matches the Rfam family "Bacterial small subunit ribosomal RNA", at positions 524 to 776 of the family's 1533-position model. The record is from RNAcentral.